Phacochoerus africanus (Common warthog) is the source of this 1660-nucleotide long non-coding RNA. RefSeq lists it as uncharacterized. Lineage: Eukaryota; Metazoa; Chordata; Mammalia; Artiodactyla; Suidae. The record is from RefSeq and is a predicted model, not a curated record. The transcript is spliced from 2 exons.
UCUGCUGUGGUUGUGGUUAUGGUGUAGGCUGGCAGCUGCAGCUCUUAUUCCACCCCCUAACCUGAGAACUUCCAUAUGCCACAGGUGCAGCCUGAAAAAGAAAAGAAAAAAAAAAAAGUACUGCAGGAACAUAUAUUACUUGGGGGACUCAUGGGCUGGAACCAGGAACGCAGGUUCAGCUUGAGGGAGCUCUGGGAGAAACGGGCCAGGCUUGGGUCAUGUGCCCACCUCUUGUACCACCCACUGUAGCCAGGAAUGGAUAGGGUAAGCUCCAUGACUGACCCUGCCUGGAUUAUGGGUCCACCAUUAUCAGGAGAAUGGGAUAUUAUAUAGACAUGGGCAUUGGAGAAAUCAAGAGGUAAACAGCCAUGCAAUUUAUGUCUCCCUCUGGUGAAAAUACUUCAAAAUUCCUUUAUUUUAAAAAUGAGGUCAUCUUUCAGAGUCACUGCUGAAGCUUUCCAAAGAGGCCUAAAUUUCCACAUCCACCAUGAUUUCUAAGUAGGUGGCAAGGAUUCUGGUCACUGCACGGCCUGCUCACCUGGCCUCGGAGCCCACCAAAGCAUGAUCACUCUUAGGCUACCCUCACUUCCACGACACUUGCUUGGACUGCUUUGCCUACAUCUCAUCCAUACUCACCAUCUAAGUAGAAAGUGCUUGAACAUCUGCCUUCUGAUGGACCAUUAUUCCCAUUCAGAUUUGGGAUUGCUCUCCCAUCUCCUCUUCCUUCGCCACUCUCUCCCAGGCUCAUUCGCUCAUUUCACUAGUUUGUUUGACAAAACAUGUGCCCUUACAGAUUUGAUCCAAUCACAACAUUCCUUCCACUUCUUGCUGACUUGUUCCAAAAGAACUGGUUCUUCAGCCUCACAAAAAGGUGACUUUCACUCUCCAUAUUUAGAACCUCAGUCAGGAUGUUGGGUCAGAGUUCAGAUCAUGGCAUCCCCAUGUUUAUUCUUUGAGAGAAGUGAUAUGUCUACUUUAUCCACAGUUGUGUUAGCCGUUAUCACACUGAAUAUUCUGUUUUUCUAUUUGUCUCCAUCCUUAGGCUGUAGUCAUCUUAAGAACUGGGACUGCAAACCUUAGACAUAAGUUUCUUAGUAUGUGAACUGAAUGAAUGAAUGAUGAACUAAAGACCAUGGGCUUUAGUAUCAGAAAGAUCUGGAUUUGAAUUCUGUUUCUAUCACUCCCUUAGUGACUUGGGACAACUUGCUUAACCUCUCUGCCUUAAUUUCUUUGUUCCUUGCUGAUCAUAAAAUGUGGAUAAUAAUGCCUACCUUUCAAGAAUAUUGUUAGAUUUAAAUGUGCAAAUGUCUAGUACUGUGUAGAGUGUAUAGAACCAUGUAACUAGUAGCUUUAAAAAGAUGUUAAAAGACUUAACAAAGGCAAGGAGGGGGAUGUAUUGUUCACCCCUAGGGAGGGUGUUGGCCACUGUUUACAUCUUGUACCUCUGGGAAGGGAAUAUAUCGUUCAGGAUCAAAGGCAGGUGGGGGAAAAAAAUAGUAGAACAAAGAAAACCACCUUGGCAGAGAGGAGCAGAAUGUCAUUAUUACUAAACUGUAAGUUCUCUGAGAAGAGUGACACACCUAAUUUAAUGAUGAAGACUUAGUAUCUAGCACCACACCAUACAUUACAAAUGUUUAUUGAAUAAAUCAGUGAAUGCAUA